UUCUUAUCUAGAGAGGUGGAGGGACUGGCCCUUAGAAACCUCGGCAACAGGCUUUUAUUUAGCACUGUGCCAAUUCCAGUAGCCAACUACAGGCUUGAAGAUAAGAA
This 107-nucleotide non-coding RNA is filed under the name Gracilibacillus halophilus. RNAcentral describes it as "SAM-I sequence". It matches the Rfam family "SAM riboswitch aptamer (S box leader)". Rfam says of the family: The SAM riboswitch is found upstream of a number of genes which code for proteins involved in methionine or cysteine biosynthesis in Gram-positive bacteria. The SAM riboswitch acts at the level of transcription termination control. The predicted structure consists of a complex stem-loop region followed by a single stem loop terminator region. The record is from RNAcentral. Lineage: Bacteria; Bacillati; Bacillota; Bacilli; Caryophanales; Bacillaceae. RNAcentral also lists the same sequence under 1 other name.